CGGGGUGCGCAGGCGCGAAAACUUUACAAUGCUGGCAACAGCGAUAAGGGGACCUUGAGUGCCAGGAUACAAUCCUGGCUGUCGUGAUGCCUAAAAAGCAUUAUAUAGCAAGGGCCGGGCAAGACCGGUGCCAGCCGCCGCGGUAACACCGGCGGCUCGAGUGGUAACCGCUAUUAUUGGGUCUAAAGGGUCUGUAGCCGGCUUGGUUAGUCUCUUGGGAAAUCCGGCAGCUUAACUGUCGGGCUUUCAGGAGAUACUGCCAGGCUCGAGACCGGGAGAGGUGAGAGGUACUUCAUGGGUAGGGGUGAAAUCUUGUAAUCCUUGAAGGACCACCAGUGGCGAAGGCGUCUCACCAGAACGGAUCUGACGGCAAGGGACGAAAGCUAGGGGCACGAACCGGAUUAGAUACCCGGGUAGUCCUAGCCGUAAACGAUACUCGCUAGGUGUCGGCCACGGUGCGACCGUGGUCGGUGCCGUAGGGAAGCCGUGAAGCGAGCCACCUGGGAAGUACGGCCGCAAGGCUGAAACUUAAAGGAAUUGGCGGGGGAGCAC
RNAcentral lists this ribosomal RNA (552 nucleotides) under uncultured archaeon. RNAcentral describes it as "bacterial SSU rRNA". It matches the Rfam family "Archaeal small subunit ribosomal RNA", at positions 326 to 879 of the family's 1478-position model. The record is from RNAcentral.